RNAcentral lists this ribosomal RNA (495 nucleotides) under uncultured bacterium. RNAcentral describes it as "bacterial SSU rRNA". It matches the Rfam family "Bacterial small subunit ribosomal RNA", at positions 28 to 526 of the family's 1533-position model. The record is from RNAcentral.
GAUGAGCGCUAGCGGCAGGCCUAACACAUGCAAGUCGAGGGGUAGUAUAGCAAUAUAUGAGACCGGCGCACGGGUGCGUAACGCGUAUGCAAUCUACCUUUUACAGGGGAAUAGCCCAGAGAAAUUUGGAUUAAUGCCUGAUAGAAUAUAAGAAUCGCAUGGUUUUUAUAUUAAAGUUACAACGGUAAAAGAUGAGCAUGCGUCCAAUUAGUUAGUUGGUAAGGUAACGGCUUACCAAGACGAUGAUGGGUAGGGGUCAUGAGAGGGAGAUCCCCCACACUGGUAAUGAGACACGGACCAGACGCCUACGGGAGGCAGCAGGGAGGAAUAUUGGACAAUGGGCGCAAGCCUGAUCCAGCCAUGCCGCGUGCAGGAAGACGGUCCUAUGGAUUGUAAACUGCUUUUAUACAGGAAGAAACACCACUACGAGUAGUGACUUGACGGUACUGUAAGAAUAAGGAUCGGCUAACUCCGUGCCAGCCGCCGCAGUAACAC